UUAACUCAUUUUUGUAUAGAGUUGGAACGUUUACCUACGUUUGCUGCUAAGGGCUCUGUUCCAACAAACAAACAAAUGUGUGCUG
Molecule: microRNA precursor, 85 nt
Filed under: Bombyx mori (domestic silkworm)
Lineage: Eukaryota; Metazoa; Arthropoda; Insecta; Lepidoptera; Bombycidae
Description: mir-2807 microRNA precursor family
Rfam family: mir-2807 microRNA precursor family
Source: Rfam by way of RNAcentral